This 199-nucleotide unclassified non-coding RNA is filed under the name uncultured fungus. RNAcentral's name for it is "sequence contains ITS1". The record is from RNAcentral. Lineage: Eukaryota; Fungi.
GUAUAAAUUUUUUUGUUACAUUCUAAGGACAUACAUUAGAUGAGAUUAUAAAAGACAUAGAAUCCUCUUUCAAGGGUUAUCUACAAUUGGUGCACAAGUGUGGAAAGUGUGGUAGACGUGCACAUGCUAAGAAUGAACCUAGCCAGCGACAGUCCUUGUGUAUUCAAUAAUGAUCCUUCCGCAGGUUCACCUACGGAAA